Molecule: ribosomal RNA, 446 nt
Filed under: uncultured bacterium
Lineage: Bacteria
Description: bacterial SSU rRNA
Rfam family: Bacterial small subunit ribosomal RNA
Source: RNAcentral
UCCAGACUCCUACGGGAGGCAGCAGUGGGGAAUAUUGCACAAUGGGGGAAACCCUGAUGCAGCGACGCCGCGUGAGCGAUGAAGUAUUUCGGUAUGUAAAGCUCUAUCAGCAGGGAAGAAAAUGACGGUACCUGACUAAGAAGCCCCGGCUAACUACGUGCCAGCAGCCGCGGUAAUACGUAGGGGGCAAGCGUUAUCCGGAUUUACUGGGUGUAAAGGGAGCGUAGACGGUGAUGCAAGUCAGAAGUGAAAGCCCGCGGCUCAACUGCGGGACUGCUUUUGAAACUGUAUAACUAGAGUGCAGGAGAGGUAAGCGGAAUUCCUAGUGUAGCGGUGAAAUGCGUAGAUAUUAGGAGGAACACCAGUGGCGAAGGCGGCUUACUGGACUGUAACUGACGUUGAGGCUCGAAAGCGUGGGGAGCAAACAGGAUUAGAUACCCGUGUAA